This 468-nucleotide ribosomal RNA is filed under the name uncultured bacterium. RNAcentral describes it as "partial 16S ribosomal RNA". It matches the Rfam family "Bacterial small subunit ribosomal RNA", at positions 28 to 507 of the family's 1533-position model. The record is from RNAcentral.
GACGAAGGAGGGAGGGGUGCUUAACACAUGCAAGUCGAACGGAAAGGCCCUGCUUUUGUGGGGUGCUCGAGUGGCGAACGGGUGAGUAACACGUGAGUAACCUGCCCUUGACUUUGGGAUAACUUCAGGAAACUGGGGCUAAUACCGGAUAGGAGCUCCUGCUGCAUGGUGGGGGUUGGAAAGUUUCGGCGGUUGGGGAUGGACUCGCGGCUUAUCAGCUUGUUGGUGGGGUAGUGGCUUACCAAGGCUUUGACGGGUAGCCGGCCUGAGAGGGUGACCGGCCACAUUGGGACUGAGAUACGGCCCAGACUCCUACGGGAGGCAGCAGUGGGGAAUAUUGCACAAUGGGCGGAAGCCUGAUGCAGCAACGCCGCGUGCGGGAUGACGGCCUUCGGGUUGUAAACCGCUUUCGCCUGUGACGAAGCGUGAGUGACGGUAAUGGGUAAAGAAGCACCGGCUAACUACGUG